GACGUAGGGGCCAGCGUUGCUCGGAAUUACUGGGCGUAAAGGGUCCGUAGGCGGUGCGGUAAGUCGGGAGUGAAAUCUCUGGGCUUAACUCAGAGGCUGCUUCCGAAACUACCGUGCUAGAGUGCGAGAGAGGCAAGUGGAAUUGCGGGUGUAGCGGUGAAAUGCGUAGAUAUCCGCAGGAACAUCCGAGGCGAAAGCGGCUGCUGGAUCGCAACUGACGCUGAGGGACGAAAGCUAGGGAGCAAACAGG
Molecule: ribosomal RNA, 250 nt
Filed under: uncultured bacterium
Lineage: Bacteria
Description: partial 16S ribosomal RNA
Rfam family: Bacterial small subunit ribosomal RNA
Source: RNAcentral